This 773-nucleotide ribosomal RNA is filed under the name uncultured bacterium. RNAcentral describes it as "bacterial SSU rRNA". It matches the Rfam family "Bacterial small subunit ribosomal RNA", at positions 731 to 1501 of the family's 1533-position model. The record is from RNAcentral.
GGGAUGAUACUGACGCUGAGGCACGAAAGCGUGGGGAGCAAACAAGGAUUAGAUACCCCUGGUAGUCCACGCCCUAAAACGAUGAAUGCUAGUCGUCGGGGAGCUCGUCUCUUCGGUGAUGCACUUAACAGAUUAAGCAUUCCGCCUGGGGAGUACGGUCGCAAGAUUAAAACUCAAAGGAAUAGACGGGGACCCGCACAAGUGGUGGAGCAUGUGGUUUAAUUCGAAGAUACACGAAGAACCUUACCUGGCCUUGACAUCCCGAGAACCCUUAAGAGAUUAGGGGGUGCUAGCUUGCUAGAACUCGGUGACAGGUGCCGCACGGCUGUCGUCAGCUCGUGUCGUGAGAUGUUGGGUUAAGUCCCGCAACGAGCGCAACCCUCGUCCUUAGUUGCUAACAGUUCGGCUGAGCACUCUAAGGAGACUGCCUUCGUAAGGAGGAGGAAGGUGAGGACGACGUCAAGUCAUCAUGGCCCUUACGGCCAGGGCUACACACGUGCUACAAUGGGGCGUACAAAGAGCUGCAAUACCGCGAGGUGGAGCCAAUCUCUUAAAGCGUCUCUCAGUUCGGAUUGUUCUCUGCAACUCGAGAACAUGAAGCUGGAAUCACUAGUAAUCGUAGAUCAGCUAUGCUACGGUGAAUACGUUCCCGGGUCUUGUACUCACCGCCCGUCACACCAUGGGAGUUGAUUUCACCCGAAAUCGGGAUGCCAAACUGGCUACCGCUUAUCGGUGGAAUUAGCGACUGGGGUGAAGUCGUAAGCAAGGUAACC